AAAAACUUAGAGCUAUUCUGUCAGGCAUUGCAGCAGACUGCCAUCUCUGAUGCUGGGAAGCACAUUGAUUCCAGACAGACAGCCUAUUACGAGGUGACAGUGAGCAUCACACACUGCUGUGUGCACAUGCAUCUGAACCCUCUGAACUCCAAUUCAGGAAUUUACAAUUGUCUCAGUCUUGGUGGAAGACGAGUCCUGUCUCUGGCUGAGGAAAAUUAAAAUGCCAGCCUGCAAGAUGCUUUUUGUCACGCUGAGGCUGAAGUAUCAGCAUGAAAG
Eptesicus fuscus (big brown bat) is the source of this 276-nucleotide long non-coding RNA. RefSeq lists it as uncharacterized. Lineage: Eukaryota; Metazoa; Chordata; Mammalia; Chiroptera; Vespertilionidae. The transcript is spliced from 3 exons. The record is from RefSeq and is a predicted model, not a curated record.